GGUCCUCGUCUUGGUGACCUCGCGAGAGGACUGAGGUGGCACCGGGCCGCUCUCCCCGAAGGGCACUGCGCGCAGUCCGGCGGAUCUCAGGUUCGCGUUCGGCGUCGGCGGGACCUCGGCGUCCAGCAGCGCGGAGACUGGGCUACCGUGGCGGGAGCGUUGAUUCCGUGGGCAGCCGGUCUGUCUGAGCUUACGCGCGGACCCGGCUCCGCGCCGGCACCCGACAGCUGUGGAACUCCUCAGGCGCGCCAGUGCGGAAUCCCAGAGCAGGGAGGGCCGCACAAGGACAGUCCAGGACGCGGCUCUGCGGCGUGGGGACGUCCUGAAUCCCACAGGUAUAUGAUAAACACUCUAAAAUUUUCGGUCUUAAAAGUCUGAAGUCGGGCUUCCCUGGUGGCACAGUGGUUAAGAACCCGCCUGCCAAUGCA
Delphinapterus leucas (beluga whale) is the source of this 428-nucleotide non-coding RNA. NCBI's taxonomy places the organism in Eukaryota, Metazoa, Chordata, Mammalia, Artiodactyla, Monodontidae. The record is from RefSeq and is a predicted model, not a curated record.